RNAcentral lists this ribosomal RNA (1245 nucleotides) under 'Lactuca sativa' X-disease phytoplasma. RNAcentral's name for it is "bacterial SSU rRNA". It matches the Rfam family "Bacterial small subunit ribosomal RNA", at positions 190 to 1449 of the family's 1533-position model. Lineage: Bacteria; Bacillati; Mycoplasmatota; Mollicutes; Acholeplasmatales; Acholeplasmataceae. The record is from RNAcentral.
AAGACCUUCUUUGAAGGUAUGCUUAAGGAGGGGCUUGCGACACAUUAGUUAGUUGGCAGGGUAAAGGCCUACCAAGACUAUGAUGUGUAGCUGGACUGAGAGGUUGAACAGCCACAUUGGGACUGAGACACGGCCCAAACUCCUACGGGAGGCAGCAGUAGGGAAUUUUCGGCAAUGGAGGAAACUCUGACCGAGCAACGCCGCGUGAACGAUGAAGUACCUCGGUAUGUAAAGUUCUUUUAUUAAGGAAGAAAAAAGAGUGGAAAAACUCCCUUGACGGUACUUAAUGAAUAAGCCCCGGCUAAUUAUGUGCCAGCAGCCGCGGUAAUACAUAAGGGGCGAGCGUUAUCCGGAAUUAUUGGGCGUAAAGGGUGCGUAGGCGGUUUAAUAAGUCUAUAGUUUAAUUUCAGCGCUUAACGCUGUUGUGCUAUAGAAACUGUUUUACUAGAGUGAGUUAGAGGCAAGCGGAAUUCCAUGUGUAGCGGUAAAAUGCGUAAAUAUAUGGAGGAACACCAGAGGCGUAGGCGGCUUGCUGGGACUUUACUGACGCUGAGGCACGAAAGCGUGGGGAGCAAACAGGAUUAGAUACCCUGGUAGUCCACGCCGUAAACGAUGAGUACUAAGUGUCGGGUAAAACCGGUACUGAAGUUAACACAUUAAGUACUCCGCCUGAGUAGUACGUACGCAAGUAUGAAACUUAAAGGAAUUGACGGGACUCCGCACAAGCGGUGGAUCAUGUUGUUUAAUUCGAAGAUACACGAAAAACCUUACCAGGUCUUGACAUUUUCUUGCGAAGUUAUAGAAAUAUAAUGGAGGUUAUCAGGAAAACAGGUGGUGCAUGGUUGUCGUCAGCUCGUGUCGUGAGAUGUUAGGUUAAGUCCUAAAACGAGCGCAACCCUUGUCGUUAAUUGCCAGCAUGUAAUGAUGGGGACUUUAACGAGACUGCCAAUGAAAAAUUGGAGGAAGGUGGGGAUUACGUCAAAUCAUCAUGCCCCUUAUGAUCUGGGCUACAAACGUGAUACAAUGGUUGAUACAAAGAGUAGCUGAAACGCGAGUUCUUAGCCAAUCUCACAAAAUCAAUCUCAGUUCGGAUUGAAGUCUGCAACUCGACUUCAUGAAGUUGGAAUCGCUAGUAAUCGCGAAUCAGCAUGUCGCGGUGAAUACGUUCUCGGGGUUUGUACACACCGCCCGUCAAACCACGAAAGUUGGCAAUACCCCAAAGCGGUCACCUAACUUCGCAAGAAG